This 358-nucleotide ribosomal RNA is filed under the name uncultured bacterium. RNAcentral describes it as "partial 16S ribosomal RNA". It matches the Rfam family "Bacterial small subunit ribosomal RNA", at positions 338 to 696 of the family's 1533-position model. The record is from RNAcentral.
CCUACGGGGCUGCAGUGAGGAAUAUUGGUCAAUGGGCGGAAGCCUGAACCAGCCAAGUAGCGUGCGGGAUGAAGGCCCUACGGGUCGUAAACCGCCUUUGCACGGGGAUAACACCCUCCACUUGUGGAGGUCUGCAGGUACCGUGUGACUAAGGGCCGGCUAAUUCCGGGCCAGCAGCCGCGGUAAUACGGAAGGCCCGAGCGUUAUCCGAAUUCAUUGGGCUUAAAGGGAGCGUAGGCGGGCGUUCAAGUAAGCGGUAAAAUCGCGCGGCUAAACCGCGCCCCGCAGUUGAAACUGGAAGCCUUGAGUGCACAACAGGCGGGCGGAAUUCGAGGUGUAGCGGUGAAAUGCGUAGAUA